This 468-nucleotide ribosomal RNA is filed under the name uncultured bacterium. RNAcentral's name for it is "partial 16S ribosomal RNA". It matches the Rfam family "Bacterial small subunit ribosomal RNA", at positions 28 to 507 of the family's 1533-position model. The record is from RNAcentral.
GACGAACGCUGUCGGCGUGCUUAACACAUGCAAGUCGAACGGAAAGGCCCUGCUUUUGUGGGGUGCUCGAGUGGCGAACGGGUGAGUAACACGUGAGUAACCUGCCCUUGACUUUGGGAUAACUUCAGGAAACUGGGGCUAAUACCGGAUAGGAGCUCCUGCUGCAUGGUGGGGGUCGGAAAGUUUCGGCGGUUGGGGAUGGACUCGCGGCUUAUCAGCUUGUUGGUGGGGUAGUGGCUUACCAAGGCUCUGACGGGUAGCCGGCCUGAGAGGGUGACCGGCCACAUUGGGACUGAGAUACGGCCCAGACUCCUACGGGAGGCAGCAGUGGGGAAUAUUGCACAAUGGGCGGAAGCCUGAUGCAGCAACGCCGCGUGCGGGAUGACGGCCUUCGGGUUGUAAACCGCUUUCGCCUGUGACGAAGCGUGAGUGACGGUAAUGGGUAAAGAAGCACCGGCUAACUACGUG